AACGAACGCUGGCGGCAUGGAUUAGGCAUGCAAGUUGAACGAACCACUUCGGUGGAGAGUAGCGGAAGGGUGAGGAACGCGUGAGUAAUCUGCCCCCAACGUUGGGAAAUAAACAGCUGGAAAACGGCUGCUAAUACCGAAUGUGGCUUUAUCUCUGCACGGAGGUUUGGCUAAAGAUUUAUCGCUUGGGGAUGAGCUCGCGUCCCAUUAGGUAGUUGGUGAGGUAACGGCCCACC
RNAcentral lists this ribosomal RNA (236 nucleotides) under uncultured bacterium. RNAcentral's name for it is "partial 16S ribosomal RNA". It matches the Rfam family "Bacterial small subunit ribosomal RNA", at positions 29 to 269 of the family's 1533-position model. The record is from RNAcentral.